Molecule: long non-coding RNA, 308 nt
Filed under: Androctonus crassicauda
Lineage: Eukaryota; Metazoa; Arthropoda; Arachnida; Scorpiones; Buthidae
Source: RNAcentral
GUAGAUCUUUAGAUCCUUUUACAAUAAAUCUUUUUAUAGUCCUAUUGAAAAAGAUACUGUCUUUUGUGAUUAAGAUGGAUUUCUUACGGGAUGAUUCUGUUAGGGAUGCUCAAGAGACUACUAGUGGUUGCAGUGCUAACUCCUCCUAAACCCUUCCUUUCGUAUAAUCUACUGUUGACAAUAUAUAUAAAGUAUUCACAAACAUCCUCACAAAAAGAUUGGAACAAGACUGGAUUUGAAUCAACCAAGAGAACAAGCUGGAUUUUGAAAAGGCUAUUUGACAAUAGAUUAUAUGCACACUAUCAACC